Molecule: transfer RNA, 75 nt
Filed under: Candidatus Daviesbacteria bacterium RIFCSPHIGHO2_02_FULL_39_8
Lineage: Bacteria; Candidatus Daviesiibacteriota
Also listed under: 1 other name
Description: tRNA-Met
Rfam family: tRNA
About the family: Transfer RNA (tRNA) molecules are approximately 80 nucleotides in length.
Source: RNAcentral
GCCAGGGUAGCUCAAUGGUGGAGCACCACAUUCAUAACGUGGCGGUUGUGGGUUCGAUCCCCACCCCUGGUACCU